Molecule: small RNA, 625 nt
Filed under: Pan troglodytes (chimpanzee)
Lineage: Eukaryota; Metazoa; Chordata; Mammalia; Primates; Hominidae
Description: processed transcript
Source: RNAcentral
AGAAAACCCAAAAGCAGUAAAGCGAGCGGCUUUGGGAUGGCCUGGGACUGCCGGAGGCUGGUGGCGGCGGGGCGCGCAGGCUGCGCACGGCUUACACCAACACGCAGCUGCUGGAACUGGAGAAGGAAUUCCACUUUAAUAAGUACCUGUGCCGGCCACGCCGCGUCGAGAUCGCGGCCUUGCUGGACCUCACCGAAAGGCAGGUCAAAGUCUGGUUUCAGAACCGGCGCAUGAAGCACAAGCGGCAGACGCAGCACCGAGAGCCGCCGGAUGGGGAGCCUGCCUGCCCGGGAGCCCUGGAGGACAUCUGCGACCCUGCCGAGGAGACCGCGGCCAGCCCGGGCGGCCCCUCCGCCUCGCGGGCGGCGUGGGAAGCCUGCUGUCACCCGCCGGAGAUGGUGCCGGGGGCCUUAAGCGCGGACCCCCGGCCUUUAGCCGUUCGCUUAGAGGGCGCAGGCGCGUCGAGCCCCGACUGCGCUCUGCGCGGGGCCGGCGGGCUGGAGCCCGGGCCAUUGCCAGAAGACGUCUUCUCGGGGCGCCAGGAUUCACCUUUCCUUCCCGACCUCAACUUCUUCGCGGCCGACUCCUGUCUCCGGCUAUCCGGAGGCCUCUCCCCUAGCCUACA